Molecule: non-coding RNA, 264 nt
Filed under: Nematostella vectensis (starlet sea anemone)
Lineage: Eukaryota; Metazoa; Cnidaria; Anthozoa; Actiniaria; Edwardsiidae
Description: Eukaryotic small subunit ribosomal RNA
Rfam family: Eukaryotic small subunit ribosomal RNA
Source: Rfam by way of RNAcentral
GUCUAAGUAUAAGCACUCGUACUGUGAAACUGCGAAUGGCUCAUUAAAUCAGUUAUCGUUUAUUUGAUUGUACCUUUACUACUUGGAUAACCGUGGUAAUUCUAGAGCUAAUACAUGCGAAAAGUCCCGACUUCUGUAAUGAAAAGAAAUAAUAUAUAUAUAUAUAUGCAGUCAAACAACAGAAUUGCAUGAUAACCUUGAAUAUAUUGAAUAAAGGACUGCAAAAAAAAAUCUUUUGUACUAGUUGCUUGAAUUGACCCUGGG